GCCGAGGUGGCGGAACUGGUAGACGCGCUGUCUUGAGGGGGCAGUGGGCCCCGUGCCUGUGCGGGUUCGAGUCCCGCCCUCGGCA
This 85-nucleotide transfer RNA is filed under the name Caldimicrobium thiodismutans. It matches the Rfam family "tRNA". Rfam says of the family: Transfer RNA (tRNA) molecules are approximately 80 nucleotides in length. The record is from Rfam by way of RNAcentral. Lineage: Bacteria; Pseudomonadati; Thermodesulfobacteriota; Thermodesulfobacteria; Thermodesulfobacteriales; Thermodesulfobacteriaceae.